AUCUAAUCUUUCGGGGCUGGUGAGUAACUCGUGAGAACCUGCCUUUUAGGGUGGAACAACAGAGGGAAACCGCUGGUAAUACCCGAUGAACCGAGAGGGGAAAGAUUAAUCGCUAAAAGAGGGGCUCGCGUCGGAUUAGCUAGUUGGUGGGGUAAAGGCCUCCCAAGGAGACGAUCCGUAGCUGGUCUGAGAGGAUGACCAGCCUCCCUGGGACUGAGACACGGCCCCGAUUCCUACGGGAGGCAGCAGUGGGGAAUUUUCCGCAAUGGGCGAAAGCCUGAAGGAGCCAGACCGCGUGAGGGAAGAAGGCUCUAGGGUUGUAAACCUCUUUUAUCAGGGAAGAAGAAAGUGACCGUUCUUGAAGAAAAAGCCUCGGCUAACUCCGGGCCAGCAGCCGCGGUAAGACGGAGGAGGCAAGCGUUAUCCGGAAUGAUUGGGCGUAAAGAGUCCGUAGGUGGAACUUCAAUUCUAUUGUUAAAGAGCAAAGUUUAACUUUGUAAAGGCAGUGGAAACUGAAGAACUAGAGAGGGGCAGGGGCAAAGGGAAUUCCUGGUGUAGCGGUGAAAUGCGUGGAGAUCAGGAAGAACACCGGUGGCGAAAGCGCUUUGCUGGGUCCAUUCUGACCCUGAGGGACCAACGCUAUGGCAGCGAAUGCCAUUAGUAC
RNAcentral lists this ribosomal RNA (664 nucleotides) under Phormidium sp. PUPCCC 118.4. RNAcentral describes it as "bacterial SSU rRNA". It matches the Rfam family "Bacterial small subunit ribosomal RNA", at positions 83 to 785 of the family's 1533-position model. The record is from RNAcentral. Lineage: Bacteria; Bacillati; Cyanobacteriota; Cyanophyceae; Oscillatoriales; Oscillatoriaceae.